This 248-nucleotide ribosomal RNA is filed under the name uncultured Ruminiclostridium sp. RNAcentral describes it as "partial 16S ribosomal RNA". It matches the Rfam family "Bacterial small subunit ribosomal RNA", at positions 524 to 771 of the family's 1533-position model. Lineage: Bacteria; Bacillati; Bacillota; Clostridia; Eubacteriales; Oscillospiraceae. The record is from RNAcentral.
UACGUAGGUGGCAAGCGUUAUCCGGAUUUACUGGGUGUAAAGGGCGUGUAGGCGGGAUUGCAAGUCAGAUGUGAAAUUCCAGGGCUCAACCCUGGACCUGCAUUUGAAACUGUGAUUCUUGAGUGAUGGAGAGGCAGGCGGAAUUCCGUGUGUAGCGGUGAAAUGCGUAGAUAUACGGAGGAACACCAGUGGCGAAGGCGGAUUGCUGGACAGUAACUGACGCUGAGGCGCGAAAGCGUGGGGAGCAA